Dromaius novaehollandiae (emu) is the source of this 5561-nucleotide long non-coding RNA. RefSeq lists it as uncharacterized. The transcript is spliced from 4 exons. The record is from RefSeq and is a predicted model, not a curated record. NCBI's taxonomy places the organism in Eukaryota, Metazoa, Chordata, Aves, Casuariiformes, Dromaiidae.
UGACCGGGCGGUUUGGUGAGGGGGGGAGAGGGCGCAGGCCGGCUACGCGCCCUCGGCGGGGGGAAGCUGCCCCGACAGCCGCCCGAGGCGGGCCGCGCGCUGGGUGCCCGGUGAGCCGAGGCGGAGGCGCGGGGUGGCCGAGCGGCUUCGCCCCGGUGCGUCUGUGAGCCGGACUCCCGACCGCGGCACCGGGACGGCGCCGGGGCCCUCGGCGGCGCUGGGCCGCUCUGCGAGACGAGGCCUCGUGCCGCACCCGCCGGCCUUGCCGUGCCAGCCCGUGGAAGACGAAGCGCGCGGCUUCCUUCCUCCCGUGCUCAUCUGCGAAGCUUUUCGGUUUACCCGGCACACGUUACUAGUAACUUUCAGGAGGCUAAAAGGAAAAGUCUGACCACUUUUUCGAAACGUUGCCUGAAGUUUAAAAGCACAGAAGACCUGUUGUAGGCUACGGAGACUUUGUAAAGCUUGAGUCUUGCGUUUGCUAACGACUCGCGUCGUGCGGGGGUUUCACCAGUGUGUUUGACGCCAUUCGCCUAAAUAGCUUUUAUGAGGAAUUUUGUGAUAUUUUAUUGUUUUUUUUUAGCUUUAAGACUUUCUAGCUCUGCAGAACUUGGAGCUACUCUGCACUUGUCACUUCUUUCAAACCAUACUUUCAUUUUGCCCUGUAUUUUCAUGGUAACUUCACCUUGGUGGUCAUAGGAAUCAGUAAGUCACGAAAAGGGUCGUUCUUUUACAACAGAGCAGAAAUACACGAAACUUACUGACGACUGCAAAACCCAAGAAACGUACGUGUGCUUCAGCGUGAAAACGGCUGCUGGAACGCCGGUGCUGGAAGCUCCCCUGUGAUACACAUGGAGCGAGCCUCAACUGCCGAAAGCCAAGAAAGCGGCUUUGAUUUUUUUACAUAGGUCAUUUGCCUUGCAAGAGUAGAUGUUUUUAUUUUAUGGCACAAUUAUGAAAAUAUGUUGGAAAACAUUUCUGAAACACUGUUAAAUCGGUACUCAGAGUAUUCAGAAGCUGUCAACUAACUUCAAAGUCACUUAAGCCAGUUUGAUUUCAGUGGAUUAAAAUACACAACCCCAAACAAACCCUAGGACCUUUGUAUUUCAAAGACUUAUUUUUAACGAUCACUUAUUGAUAUUGCAUUAUAACACGUACUUUUAUUUUCCUAACUUGUCUCUUACUGAUCAGACCUACGGUUUCUUUUUAAAGUUAAUUAAAAUCUUAGAAGAAAGGGAGAACCAUUUGCAGCACUUUCAAUACUGUAUUGCUACACAAACUUUUCUUCUUGCUGAAAGAUGAAAACAAAGCAUGAUGAUAAACAAUUUUAAAAGCUUUAGACUGAGGAAUGAAAACUUUUGCAGUUGCCUACUCUACUGCGAGUUGUAAGUCCAUCUGAUGCUUUUGGUUGUACAGAAAAAUGCUUAACUGAGAAAAUGAAUAGUUUAACAAAAAGAAGUUGAAGUUAGCAAGCACCAAUUUAGAUUUGAGACUGCAAGACAUUCUUGGGGCAUUUGGUUAUACCUAGGAGAUGUGCAAGGUUGGAAAGGGUGUCCCAUUUAACCGACUGAAUUUGGCACCACCAUACUUAAGGGCUCUACAGAGGACUUAUUACACAUAGAAAAUAAAUUUCUACUUUUAGCUUUCUCAGUUGAAAUGAGGCUUGAAGUACAGAUAUUAAAAUCACUCUUUCUAGGGAUUUCGAGUGGUAGUUUAUGUUGUGAAAAACAAAACCAAAUGUCUCUCUGUGAAAGGGCUAGCACCAGAGAUCAUAGUAUAAAGUUCAGAAAGUCUUUUAGAAAUUGUUAUUAGUAUUUGUGUAGUGCCGUCAGUUAAUCCAGAUUUUACGGUAAAUAAAAAAUAUAACAUCAACAGAGAAGCAAAUCCCUGACCCAUAGAGCUUCCACUCUAAAGACUGAUAUUUACUAGAAAAAGCAUAUGGUGAGAAGUGUCUGAAGGUUAGCGGGGCUCAGUUUCAUGGAGCAGGAUAAAAUAAUUGGAAGAAGUCAGAUUUGACAGAUAUUUAAGAGGAUGAAUACAGCAUGCUAAUAUGUGUAAAGGAUCGAACAGCACGAGCUGAAAUGGCUGGAUUCCAGGUAGGAGAACCAAACAGGCUUUUGGAGAUCCUUCCAUGCCCUCGAUUUUGGGUGCGAAUAACAGUAAUUUUGGAUCUUGCUGUAGUUUCUUGCGACUUACCAGAAGGGCUUUUAGGCUGGGCUGGCGGCAAGAACAGGCAAAGAGAAGAGUUUUCCAACCACCUCCUCAACAUCUGCCCAGAUCAGGGAAUUUCCAGUGGGAAACUGCUUUCCAGCCCCUACAUGAUGAUGGUGCCUAGUCCAGAAUUAAGGUCAGAAAGAGUAUAGAAAACAAUUUGGGAAGAGUUUAGAAGUUGAAAUUUGAUGUGAGAGGAAAUUAAGUUAGGUAUGGACAGAACAGAAGAGCACCAGAAGGCAGAAAUACGCACUCAGCGCACAAGAUGGGUGAUGCAGGCAAAGGGUUUUUUUCUAAGGCCAAGGGGAGAACAACAGGAGAGGAAGAUAAGGUAGCAGCAGAAGUUCGAGUAAAUGGGAGCCGUUGCCUGCUUUGGGGUGAAGUCUGCAGUGACUGGGCUGAAAAGAUUUUGGGGAGGAUGGGACAGUAUUACGUAGAAGGCAAUCCUCAAAGGAAGGACCUUGCUCUCAUUCAGUUCAGUGAGAGUUUUCCUGCUGACUUGCACAGUGUGACAGUAGUCAACAGGUAGCCAGCCAGAACAGGAGGAGGGUGAGAAUAACAUGGUUUGCUUUAGAAGAUUGAUUCUAAAGGUAGAAUCCAAGAGCUGGAAGAAGGAAUAGAGAAGUCUUGAGCCCAUUUGUCUGCUGUUUGUACAAUGUGAUGUAUACGAAAUGAAAGAAAAGUAUGUGAUAAUUUUAAUAGACUUUUACACCAGGGAUAUGAGUUUUGUUUCUCAUGACAGAUUAUGACAACUAGAAAAUCAGUGAAAUCACAGCAUUGUAAGAGACUAAAAGCUUAACAGCAGAGGGGAGAUGAUGAGCAUUCCCCAGCUGCAUGGGUAUAAUUGAAGGUGUGUUGCGCUGCAGAUUUAGGUCAAAAUUGUGCCCACAUUCACAACUGUACUAGUUUAACAAGAAUACUGUAUUUGUUUUUCAUUCAGAUGCAAAAUAAUGCAAGACACCUAUCAAUGGCUCUGAGCACCUAACAUAAUUAAUUAUAUAAUAAAUACAAUUACGUUAAUCCUCAGCAGUAUUAAGAUCACAGGUCUCACAGGAACACAAUAAGCUAUCCAGCUGCUUUGUUACUUAGACACUUCAUCAUCUCUCAGCCAUCCUGAACUCCUUGCGUGAAGAUGACUUUGGCAAAAGCCUCCAGGAAGGAACCAAAUUCAGUCUGUAUCAAGAUGAAAGUAGGGAAGAUAGAUCCCUUCACACAGAGUACCCUCCUUCUUUUCCUCUUUUUUUUAAGAAAAAAAAUACUCAGAUUGAGCCAGUCUAUGCUUAGAGCUGCUUAAGAUAGAUUUGCUUAGCUGGUUAGGAUAACUUGGGAGGAAGGGUUGCUCCCUUAGUCAGGCCAGUUAGAAGUUUAUCUGUUACAGCCGACACUUGAAUUCCACUUAGAAGCGGGUCAGCCAAGUGCCAUGUCCUUUGGAGGUGAUGCCGUACUGCUAUGACAAACUGUAUUCCUUGUCUUCCAUGUUGUCAGCACUUUCAGAAACACUGAAUUCAGAUUGUGGAUUUACUUAAUGAAAGACAUUGAUUAAAAAGCCUAAUUAAAAAAUUGCCUAAGGCCUACUUUAAGUAUUUCAGUAAUUGACCAUUUUCAAACAAACAGCUUUUCUUUUUUCACCUCCCCUUCAUUGAAGCCGUAAUACCAAAUAGGUAAUACAAUUAUUUUGACAGGAUCAGCCCAUCAGAAAGACUGUCAUAUGCCUUCUUUGCAAGAGCAAACAGAAUGGGAAGCUGGAUGGAAAAUGAGGGCUCUCUGAACACAUUUCAGUCCUGACAUGAAGUUCCCCAUGUGCUAAGAUUUUCCUCUAAAGAUCCUCUGCUAGAGCCCACUGAUGUCUGUGGAAAAGUUAUGAUUCACUUGGAAGAGCUAUAGAUCAGCAUAUGAACAAGGAUUUGCUUUUUCUCCUGGACAUCGGAAAUACGGAUCCAUUUUAACGAAUGCAAAACAAAGUGCAGCUUUGUACUCCCGGCUGUGGUGAAAUGCCUUCACGGUAGUGGAGCUGUGGAACUUUAUUACUGAAAGCAAAACGUAUCUAACAUCUGGUCUUGCAGUGGCUGCUCAGAUCCAUUUCGGGGUGGAAGGAAGGAUCAGUCACUCCAUGCAUUGAGCAGGUUACUUCAAAGCUUGGACACGUGUUGAAUGACAAAGGUGGAGCCAAGUCAGCCUGUGAUGGUAGAACAAACGUUCUAAGUACGAACCGUGCUGCUUUGUUCUGUUCCAGGACCUCAGUCUGAACUACUUGAGUAGUUUUGAAAUGGCAGAUUUGAAUUAAUGAAGUUAUGUUGCUAAAGUAAGAGUGGCUGGGGGAAGAAGAAAGGUUGCAAUGAAAUGCUGGCUGGAGACUAACUAGCCUUCACCAGAGGUAGUACCAGACCUUUGAAUUUCUAGCGGGCAUCAUACAAACAUAAAUUUCCUCCUACAUUGAGGCUACCAAAAGAGUAAAAUAUUAACAUGUAUUAGGGUGGCAAAAUUUGGAACGCAGUUAGGAAACAGUAAUGUAAACCACAGGAAAAAAAAAUGUAUCUGUAUACACAGAGUGGUUUGUGGUAUUAACCUUCUGUGGUUUAUAUUGCUGUUGUUUAAAUAUACUAGCCCCACUGCUUACCUUAUGCUGUGUCUUGGAGGUCUUUUGGGGGAAGAUAAAUACAGCUCAGGAAAAGAAGCAGCAUACGCUUAGAACCUGUGGUUAGGAAGGAGACAGGGAUAAAGAUUUCUCAGAGCUGUCUCCUAGACUAACUCUGAGUUGUCCGAAAGAGUAAUGAUUUCAUGAAUAAGGCAAAAGACAGAAGAAAUCCAGAGUUUCUGCUGAGUUCUACUUGUACUCCUGGGCAGAACACUUUUUUUCCAAUCUCUGUGUGCUGUUUAAAUAUUGCUCUAGUGAUCAGAUCACAGGGAAGUCUUUUACUAAGGAUUUUUUCUCUUGAACAGCUCUAAGAACUAAUAAAUUCAUAGAUGAUGUGACUUGGACAAAGCAAUGGGAUGUUGCAUCUGCUCUGCUAGAAAUAGUAAGAAAUGUUUGGUCACUUACAGCACAAAUACGUUAUAGCCAUUAUUAUGUACUCAUAAGCUUGAGUAAACAACUGCUUGCUUGUUUUUCUGCUUGUCUAUGGAAAAGCAAAAGUGUGUUAUGUCCUGGUCCAGACAGCAGGAAAGGAAAAAGGCUUUUGGUUGCAUAAUUCUCUGGUCUUUUAUCAUUGGAUGGAUUAAUUUAACCUUCUUUUCACAAUAUACCUCAUGUGAUUGAUCCAGCUGAUUGUUAAAGCCUACUGAAAUGUAUCUGUGAUGGUACUGUUCUGACCUCUUGUUUCCUUCUCAUUGUAAUAAAGUACUUGCAAUUCUAA